AUUGAACGCUGGCGGCAUGCUUUACACAUGCAAGUCGAACGGUAACAGGCCUUCGGGUGCUGACGAGUGGCGAACGGGUGAGUAAUGCAUCGGAACGUACCCAGAGGUGGGGGAUAACGCAGCGAAAGCUGUGCUAAUACCGCAUGUGAUCUGAGGAUGAAAGCGGGGGACCGAGCAGCAAUGUUUGGCCUCGCGCCUUUGGAGCGGCCGAUGUCGGAUUAGCUAGUUGGUGGGGUAAAGGCCUACCAAGGCGACGAUCCGUAGCUGGUCUGAGAGGACGACCAGCCACACUGGAACUGGGACACGGCCCAGACUCCUACGGGAGGCAGCAGUGGGGAAUUUUGGACAAUGGGCGAAAGCCUGAUCCAGCAAGGCCGCGUGCGGGAAGAAGGCCUUCGGGUGUUAAGCCGCUUUUGGCAGGAACGAAACGGUGUCCGCUAAUACCGGGCGCUAAUGACGGUACCUGCAGAAUAAGCACCGGCUAACUACGUG
This 492-nucleotide ribosomal RNA is filed under the name uncultured bacterium. RNAcentral describes it as "partial 16S ribosomal RNA". It matches the Rfam family "Bacterial small subunit ribosomal RNA", at positions 29 to 507 of the family's 1533-position model. The record is from RNAcentral.